Molecule: long non-coding RNA, 464 nt
Filed under: Fragaria vesca (wild strawberry)
Lineage: Eukaryota; Viridiplantae; Streptophyta; Magnoliopsida; Rosales; Rosaceae
Description: long non-coding RNA (FVES_LNC002456)
Source: RNAcentral
AGCUAUCAGAAUGAUUCGGGUGUCUAGGAAGAUCAGAACACUAAUAAGUGAAGCAGAAACUAACUGAAGCAAACCGAAAACCUCUCGUCAUAGGGUGCUUAUGCUAUGCCUAUAUCCCCCAACUUUCACAAAACAAAUAAAUUUGUCAUCUGCGAUUUCAAAGCAUUUACCGUUUUCUUUGGUUUCAGACGCUUCCUUGCAGACUCAUACAAAGCAUUCUCUGUCUGCAGCCUAUGUAUAAGCAUUCAUUAUUUGUGAAAGUUGAGGGAUAUAGGCGUAGAAUUAGCUAGAGGUUGUUAAGACAAAACGUGCAAUCCGACAUAUCAGAAUUCAGUGUGUACCAUGUAACUGUGGAAUCCAAUUUGUUGCCAAAACUGGGGAUUUGAGAACCAUUCCCAACAUGCCACAACAGGUUGGCGUUUGCUGCCUCAAUUUUUUCAAGAAAAGCAAAGACUACUACUCUA